CGCGUAGGUGGUUUGAUAAGCGAGAUGUGAAAGCCCCGGGCUUAACCUGGGAACGGCAUUUCGAACUGUCAGGCUAGAGUAUGGUAGAGGGUAGUGGAAUUUCCUGUGUAGCGGUGAAAUGCGUAGAUAUAGGAAGGAACACCAGUGGCGAAGGCGGCUACCUGGACCAAUACUGACACUGAGGUGCGAAAGCGUGAGGAGCAAACA
This 207-nucleotide ribosomal RNA is filed under the name uncultured bacterium. RNAcentral describes it as "partial 16S ribosomal RNA". It matches the Rfam family "Bacterial small subunit ribosomal RNA", at positions 568 to 774 of the family's 1533-position model. The record is from RNAcentral.